RNAcentral lists this microRNA precursor (85 nucleotides) under Beta vulgaris subsp. vulgaris (sugar beet). RNAcentral describes it as "pre miRNA MIR164". It matches the Rfam family "MIR164 microRNA precursor family". Lineage: Eukaryota; Viridiplantae; Streptophyta; Magnoliopsida; Caryophyllales; Amaranthaceae. The record is from RNAcentral.
AGCUCCUUGUUGGAGAAGCAGGGCACGUGCAAACGUAAUAUACCACUUUGCAGUUGCACGUGCUCCCCUUCUCCACCAUGGGCUC